Molecule: ribosomal RNA, 289 nt
Filed under: uncultured Microbacteriaceae bacterium
Lineage: Bacteria; Bacillati; Actinomycetota; Actinomycetes; Micrococcales; Microbacteriaceae
Description: partial 16S ribosomal RNA
Source: RNAcentral
CUACCGGGGUAUCUAAUCCUGUUCGCUCCCCACGCUUUCGCUCCUCAGCGUCAGUUACGGCCCAGAGAUCUGCCUUCGCCAUCGGUGUUCCUCCUGAUAUCUGCGCAUUCCACCGCUACACCAGGAAUUCCAAUCUCCCCUACCGCACUCUAGUCUGCCCGUACCCACUGCAGGCUGGAGGUUGAGCCUCCAGUUUUCACAGCAGACGUGACAAACCGCCUACGAGCUCUUUACGCCCAAUAAUUCCGGAUAACGCUUGCACCCUACGUAUUACCGCGGCUGCUGGCAC